ACGCCAACGAGGUGCCCUGUCUCCUAGGUAGAGAAAGGCCCCGUUGAGUUCUGCUUUGCCGUGCCUACGUAGUGCGGGGUUCCUGCAAGGUUUCUUUCCUAAAGAAUCCUGUUGGACACACAUUCUCAGGAGAAGGAAUUUGAAAACCUUUUCAAGAAAACUGGGAUGCCCAUUAAGAAGGUAUGACAAACGGAACGCUGCGUUCUUUUACUUACUUUUCUGAGGGUUUUAACAACGCCCCGUCCUUGGUCCAUGUAUAGGUGGCC
This is a long non-coding RNA of Panthera uncia (snow leopard), 266 nucleotides long. RefSeq lists it as uncharacterized. The transcript has 3 exons. The record is from RefSeq and is a predicted model, not a curated record. Lineage: Eukaryota; Metazoa; Chordata; Mammalia; Carnivora; Felidae.